RNAcentral lists this ribosomal RNA (778 nucleotides) under uncultured fungus. RNAcentral describes it as "eukaryotic LSU rRNA". It matches the Rfam family "Eukaryotic large subunit ribosomal RNA", at positions 24 to 664 of the family's 3401-position model. Lineage: Eukaryota; Fungi. The record is from RNAcentral.
CCCGCUGAACUUAAGCAUAUCAAUAAGCGGAGGAAAAGAAACCAACAGGGAUUGCCUCAGUAACGGCGAGUGAAGCGGCAAUAGCUCAAAUUUGAAAUCUGGCCUCUGGCCCGAAUUGUAAUUUGUAGAGGAUGCUUCGAGGAUGGUCCAGUCUAAGUUCCUUGGAACAGGACGUCAUAGAGGGUGAGAAUCCCGUAUGCGACUGGGUGCCUAAGCUCAUGUGAAGCUCCUUCGACGAGUCGAGUUGUUUGGGAAUGCAGCUCAAAAUGGGUGGUAAAUUUCAUCUAAAGCUAAAUACUGGCCAGAGACCGAUAGCGCACAAGUAGAGUGAUCGAAAGAUGAAAAGCACUUUGGAAAGAGAGUUAAACAGUGCGUGAAAUUGUUGAAAGGGAAACGUUUGACACCAGUUAUGCGGGUGGAAAAUCAGCCUUUUGCAGUGGGGAGUUGUGGGCGUUCAGACCGCAAGGCUGGCGUUUGCUUCAUCUUUGCUGUAAGUGAUGCACUUUUUCAUUUGCAGGUCAACAUCAGUUUGCUUUGCUGGACAAAACCCCAAGGGAAGGUGGCAGCUUAGGCUGUGUUAUAGCCCUGGGGCGAUACAGUGGAGUGGACUGAGGUUUCGCAGUGUGUGCUCUCGGGCAAGGCUGACUGGGCGCUAUGGGAUCGUUCGGCGUACAAUGCAUGCAUUUUGCGUCGUGUCUUUUUCAUACUCGCUCAACUCGGCUCUUCCACACUUAGGAUGUUGACUUAAUGGUUUUAAACGACCCGUCUUGAAACACGG